Long non-coding RNA from Mus musculus (house mouse), 4849 nucleotides. RefSeq annotates it as predicted gene, 40028. The record is from RefSeq and is a predicted model, not a curated record. The transcript has 4 exons. NCBI's taxonomy places the organism in Eukaryota, Metazoa, Chordata, Mammalia, Rodentia, Muridae.
UUCUUGCAGCCUAAACUCUCUGCUUUUCUGUCUGCCACAUGGCUCCACAGCACUCAACCCCUCAUGCUUUCCCUACUAAGACAGAUGAAAACCCUUAGGUAAAGCAAAUCUUAGCUAGUAGAGAGGGAUGCUGACUUGUGUGGCAAGCCCUGGCUUGUGCGUUCAAAUGGUAUCCUAAAUGUGAAAUCAAUUGGGAAACUCAGAAGUCCAGUAACAGUCUUAGCUUUUUUAUUCUGUCAAACCUCUCAGUCCCAUCAAAGCAGGGUCAAAAGUCAAGCUGAACCAGUUCUGGCAGCAAGGGACAUGCAGUUUUAGAAACACAGGACACAUCCUCCAUGACAUUAAAAUCUCACCCAAUUCCUCAUUAGCUUUGUGUACGAGUAGAGAGGGGAUGGAAGCAAUGUGGCAGUUAUUCACUUUAUUAAAUUAAUUAUCCAGAUAUUUAGACAAAUGCAAUUAUAAAGCCUUGCUGCUCUGUUCCUAUCUAGAAACCCAACUCUCUACUGCCACAGAAACAUUACCAAGGGCACAUUCCUUGUGUGAACAGCUGUCCCAUGGAGAACAACUGUUCUAUGAGGUUACCACAAUUAUCCCUGUAUGACAUUGACUUUAUUACCAGUCCUACUGACAGCAGACUUCCAAGUAAAGGGAUGAAUAGUUCAACAGUUUCACUUCAACCAAUAAUGGUUGGGGCCCAAACAGAUCCCCCCCCCCAACCCACAAAGGAUGCAGGAAAUUAAGACCCAAGUGAUCCCAAGCUAGCAAAUUAAACAAUAAACUUAGGGAACCAGGCCACACUUUAUUACCAAGAGAGUAACACCUUUUAAUUGCUUAACACAACAAAUAGAGAGGUGGCAGCUCUGGGAAGCGGGCUUUGGAUCCAUCAGCUUAGCCAUUAGGCCGGUUUAAGAAAACAAAACCCCUUCCUUACUUAAUUUGGAAACUGUGAUUUUGAUUAUGAAACAAGGGGUCACUGAGGAAUAGGGCAGCAACAGCAAGAAACAGAAGGCAACUUUCCAGCUGCUAAGAACUAAAUUUAUUAGGACAACCUCGUAAAGGUAUGUGUAAUUGAGUGAAAAUAUAACUUCAUCAGUUUAACCUUACAAGGGAAACUUCACUCAUAGAAAAUCAAGGAAAGGCAAAACUCUGUUUCUUCGGAUGCAUAUAAAAGACUUGAGUUGUGUGAGAAUUUAAGUGUGAAUGAUGCAUAAAUCAACUUCAUGGAUCCACCCCUGAAUGUGCUUCCUUGCCUCAGUUAUCCUACUCUGUCAAUAAGGCUAUACAAAUGUAUUAGGUAGCUGAAAAUACUGGUCUUACUUCUAAUGAAGACCAUCUGUACUUACAAGCAUUAGGCAGUAUUGUAUUUUAAAAGUAUUGUUGUGACUCUUAUAAUGAAAAGAUUGGCUGUGGAGGUGGCUCUAAUGACCAUUGUCAAGGGUCUUCUUUUUUUGAAACCUGGUUCCAGUUCCACACUGUAGUAGUUGUUCACAGGGGCAAGAAACAACCCUGGCACAUCCACUGCAGUCCAUACUUCAUUCUGGUAUCUCAAGUGCUCUCUAAUAUCCCUUUUCCACUUCAACAUCCCACUUAGACUUCUGUAUUUUGUUUAGUUCUUGUAGCUUAGAUUCCCCGAGAGCAGUGGUUUUCAACCUUCCUAAUGCUAUAGCCCUUUAAUACAAUUCCUCAUUUGGUGGUGACCUCAACCAGAAGAUUAAUUCAUUGCUACUUCAUAGCUAUAAUUUUGCCACUGUUAUGAAUCAUAAAUAACUGAUAUGCAGGAUAUCUGAUAUGUGAUCUCAGUGGAAGGGUCAUUUGAUUGAGAAGUCUAAGUGGGAUGUCUAGCAUGAAGAGAAAUCUUAAGAGUUUGAAAAGCACCACUGGGGUGUUUUGUUAAAGAUCCUAGAAUUUGGGUUUGUCUGACAGUUUUGUUUCCAUAACUAAGAAGUUUAGAAAGGAAGACUACCAAUGUGAUAUCGUACGGACAAAGGAUACAUGCUGUUAAGGAUGGUGCUGAUCUUGACCAGUUCUAGCAAGACAUUAUUGAUGACAAUUUUCUCCAUUGUAGUUAGCUAGUUAUACUUAUUCAUAACAUUCAUGAUUCAUUUUCUUCCUCAAAUUCUUGCAGCUUUGUCCACUGAGUGCUUCAUUAAGUGGCUUGUGUAUCAAUUAGACACAUCCGUCUAGGUUUUAAAUUCCCGUCUUGAUUGCUUUCUGAGCACUGCCUUCCUCCCUAGAACCACAGGGCUCUCCAGUCUGUGUGUUUCUCAUACUAGCCCUGGACCUGGCCUUUCUCAAAGCCCUCCUGAUUCACCUGGUUGGAGAAUACCAUUAUUUCUCUUAAUUGUCUUUACCACGAUCUCCCUGUCCUUCCAUGUCAUGUCAGGAUCACAGUUACUUUCCCUUGCCUCUUAGAAAUCCUUGGAGCACCUUUAAAGAUGGCCUCACAGAUGUGUGGAAGAUGGGCAAACUUCAUGGCACUGGGACCCCCUUCUUUCACAUCUCUUGCUUCUCUGCUUCUACUAACAUUGACAUUUUCCCCUCCCUGCACCAAUGAGUGCCAGUAGUAAAUUUUUUUACAAACUUUUUACAAAGCAUAGAGUGGCUAUUAGGAGAAGUGAGCUCCAACUAUCUCAAGUGACAUAUUUUUUUAAAUUAAUGCUGCUCCCAUUUUCUCGCUUUCUCAGACACAUUAAUGCAACAAGAAUCAUGUUGGCGUCUGAGGAAACAAAUGGAGAGAACAGCAAUUUAAGGGGAGGAGGUGAUCGCCUCCAUUCCCAAUCUGGGUACACUCCGGGGCAGUUCACAAUACGCAUGCAGAAUGUCAGAGCGCAGCAUGGAAGUCUAGUUGGAGUUCCAACUGCUGCAAGAACACGUUUCCUCUGUGACUGGCACCGAUGCUUAUUUUCCAUCACUCUGGAAGCCUUUGAAGAAGAUGCUCUGCUGAUGGGUUCCCUGCAACGACACACAGGGCCAGAUUACAGGGAUCACGGAGAUGACGACCCACAGCAUUAGGGAAGAGAAGCAGCUGCAUUGAUAAGGAGCAGAUGCAUAAAGUCUGUUUUGGAAAGGAAGUGAAGAAGAACUUCUGACCUUCAAAAUCCAGUGCCGUGUGUACAACACAGCAUAGAGCCAGGCAUUAUGGGGAAGCAGCUAUUGUCUAAUUCUCCAGUUCCCUGUUCACAUAUCUCUAGCAACAGACAAGCCCUGAGAGCUCCAAGUACAAAAGUCUGGGAAAAAAGAAGAAGUUAAAAUUGGUCUCCGUUUUUAACCAUUGGAGUGUACCAGAGCUGAAGGCAAACAGAAGGUACCUUAAAGGAGGCUGCUCUUUGAAGAAAACCAUACUCAACCACCCACUCAUGAAAUACAGCUCAUUUUUAUGUUUUGAAACCAGGAGAUCACUGGGAAAGUCAGGAGAUUACAUGGGAAGAGUGAGAGGCAGGUCCAAGGAAAGUUCCAUGCCAGACAACAGCCCAACAUGGCCACUGAGCCAUCACUAAAAACAAUACAAGGCCAGAGAAUGGAACCCAGAAAGGAACAUGUGUGAAUUGGAAGGAACAACUUGUUGACCUGCUCGAGAAGAAAACAUCUAAGAAGCUCAUCUGAAUAUUAGCAAAAACAACAGUAAAGCUCCAGGGCCUUCUAUAAAAAGUAGAUGUGUGAAUUAUGUAACUUUGUCCUUUCUACAUGGAAUGUCUAAGAUUCCGGCCAAAAUUCAAUUAUCCCGAAGUGAACAUUGGGUCCCUAGUGCCUAUGGCAUGGCCUUCCUUGACUGCUUAACUACUGGUAUAGCCAAGUGUUCUUCUGAGUUAAUAGAUCAACUAAUACACAUCAGUUUAAAGAGAGAGCAACAUUUUGACCCUCUCAGGAACUGGACUAUGUCUGGUCCUGUCAAAGCCGUCUGACCUCUUGCUUUUACAUUGUCAGUCUUGAUCAUUUUUUCUACUUGGUCUGAAUGCCCUUCCAUCAAACCUUAGCCAGGACUUUAGAGACCAGAGCAUUGAUGCAUUAAAAAUAGAAAAAGAACCAAUUAAGCCCCUACACUCUAAAUCAGAGCUAUUUGCAUCUGUGAGGGAACUCUGACAAGCGUGACAAGCAGCCAGAGCUAAUGAAAGUCUCAGCUCUCCCAGAAGUCACAUCAGGUCAUUUGCUGACACCUCUCGAUACUAGCUGGGGCCUUUGAACUGAGUCUAGAGCCAGGUAGGGGCCCUUGCCCAGUUCCUUUCACAUUCCAAAGAUAUAUCUCUUGUCUUCAAUAUAUUCAAGCAAAAAGACAGCUAAUAUACUAGCUUUUUCUUCUUUUACUCAAAGGGCCUACACUAUGCAACACAAAUUCUUCAUUGAAGACUUAGCUCUAGAACUUUUCAUGCUAAUGGAAAAACCAUAUGUUAUAGUUCCCUCCCACUAUAUGAUGGUGUCUCUUCUGCUACUCAAGUCUGUGAGAAUCAGGGCCAGAUUCAACUUUUUUUAGAAAAUGUAACGCUUUCUCCUAGAAAUUUUCAUUGCAGUACACUUACUGGAUGAAUUCCCCUAAAUAAUUAUUUUUAUAAAAUAUUAGUAGAUGAGAGACAGUCUUUGUUUUCUCAGUGCUCCUAACACUAUCUAAAAUGAAGAUGGAAAUAAAAUGAAAUGAACAAAUGCACAGCAAUCCUUUUUACCAUUGUGUUCUGUUUCAGAAUUUAACAGGCUUCUGAUUCAAAAUGGCAGCAGUCUGAGCUGAGCCUAUACUUUCACUUCAAAUUUUCCCAGAAUUACCUGAAUCUCAAUCUCUCUCUCUCUCUCUCUCUCUCUCUCACACACACACACACACACACACACACACACACACACACAUACAUACACACACACACAC